This 1321-nucleotide long non-coding RNA is filed under the name Aquila chrysaetos chrysaetos. RNAcentral's name for it is "lncRNA (ENSACCG00020012074.1)". The record is from RNAcentral. Lineage: Eukaryota; Metazoa; Chordata; Aves; Accipitriformes; Accipitridae.
GAGCAACUGCCAGCCGAGGCUCACGCAUGGCUAUGACCAUCUACAGCCCUGCCAUCAGGAGGCAAGAGCAAAGCUGAACUUCGCAGGGAGGAGCAAGCAGAAACCUCAGGAGCGUUUCCAUGGUCAGCUCGGAGCUCUGCUUGGAGAGGAGGAAGAGUGGGAGAGGAGGAAGGGGUGCCCUGCACGGAGCAGCACCCAGCUCCGCUCGGGACCUUCUCCCACGGCAGCCCCGGGGGGUGCCAAGCCAUCGCGGCGGAGCGGCGGGAGAGAAAACCACCGAGGACGAAGGCACGUGAACCCGAUUUUGGGACGACCCUGCGUAUGCCUGGCCGGGACUCAGCUCAGCAGGGCUGGGAGCCCAGCAAGCGAGUCUCCCCGAAGCAGGUGGGGGCUGCGAGCCAGCAGCAGCCGCAGCACGGAGCCGCAGGCAAAGCAGCACCUUGCAGCACCCCGUGAUGUCAUUCAGGUCGCCGUGCACAUGUAAACACGGCUGGCGCGGUGCAGCCAGGACACUCCACUUCCUCCCGCCAGCACAGUUGCACUUAGCUGGGUUUCUGCCUGAAAAGGGCAUGUUUUCUGGGUCAAGUGAAAGUGCUGGGAGCCUGGCUCCAGUGCGAACAUCACCAGCCAGGGGAACCGUAUCCAUGAUGGAAGUCCAUCCGCGGGACAGCCCUCGCCAGCCUGGAGCAAGAGCUCCAAGAGGGCUGCCGGUAUCCUGCUGCGUGUGCAUGUCCUGCUUCUUCAGCUGCCGGAGCUGCAGAAGUGAGAAUUAGAUUAGUGUUGCAAAACGAAAACAUCUCAUCACAACAGAUCAAACAACCCAGAUCUGCUCUUUUUUUGUGGAAGAAGAAAACCAGAAAAAGUACCCUUAACUGUAGAACUUUCCACUUCUGACUGCAGAGGUUUCAUACCAAAGUGCGAGUGCAAUAGCGUGAGACAUUCACGGCCAUGCAAUGAGGGCAGAAUGUAGAGGCAUUUGUGUCUUAAUCAAAUCAACUAACCUGUCUGCUGACGGCCAUGCCAGAAAAAUCCAGGACUCUGGAAUGAUAUUCCUUUGCUUCUCAGUCCUGUCAAGAUGAACAUCUUUUUCCUAGAAAUGCCAUGUUUAGCUUCAUCCAGCUACAAGUAAUAAUGUGCACACUUCAUUAUGUCCUUACUGCAACAGCCUCAGAAAUACAGACUCUAUUUAAAAUGUAAAAACCAGUAGUUAAAGUGUAUUUAUUUACUACAAUUUUUUUUAAAUUUCAUAUUCUGAAAACAACGUUGCAGUAGGAGCUGUCUCCCUGCAAUAUAAUAAAUAAAUAAAUAUAAUAAAUAAAUA